GAUGAACGCUGGCGGCGUGCCUAAUACAUGCAAGUCGGGCGAACGGACGAGAAGCUUGCUUCUCUGAUGUUAGCGGCGGACGGGUGAGUCACACGUGUAUACUCUACCUAUAUGACUGGGAUAACUUCGGGACACCGGAGCUUAUACCGGAUAAUAUUUUGAACCGCAUGGUUCAAAAGUGAAAGUCGGUCUUUCUGUAACUUCUAGAUGGUUCCGCGCUGCAUUAGCUAGUUGGUAAGGUAACGGCUUACCAAGGCAACGAGGCAUAGCCGACGUGAGAGGGUGAUCGGCCGCACUGGAAGUGAGACACGGUCCAUACUCCUACGGGAGGCAGCAGUAGGGAAUCUUCCGCAAUGGGCGAAAGCCUGACGGAGCAACGCCGCGUGAGUGAUGAAGGUCUUCGGAUCGUAAAACUCUGUUAUUAGGGAAGAACAUAUGUGUAAGUAACUGUGCACAUCUUGACGGUACCUAAUCAGAAAGCCACGGCUAACUACGUG
This 497-nucleotide ribosomal RNA is filed under the name uncultured bacterium. RNAcentral's name for it is "partial 16S ribosomal RNA". It matches the Rfam family "Bacterial small subunit ribosomal RNA", at positions 28 to 507 of the family's 1533-position model. The record is from RNAcentral.